GCUCCGGUGGCCUAGUGGUUAGAGCGUCCGCCUCGGAUGCGGUUGGUCACCGGUUCGAACCCCGGCCGAGUCA
Non-coding RNA from Potamilus streckersoni, 73 nucleotides. The record is from the annotation of a GenBank genome assembly. Lineage: Eukaryota; Metazoa; Mollusca; Bivalvia; Unionida; Unionidae.